AUCAGUUUAAAAACUAACUUUUUUUUUAAGUUACUGUUUUUCAAACAAUAAAAUUUGAUUGCAUUCUGUUGCACAUCUCUUUCCUUCUGCCUGUUCAGGUUUAUUUUGCUCUCUUGUGAGUUCCUUAAGGCAAAAGCUUAGACCUUUCCAAGAGACCUGUCUCCAAGCGUUUAGUGUUAUAGGCUUCCCUCUGAGUGCUGCUUUAGCUGAACCCCACAAGUUUUUGUUUUGUUUCCAUUUCUAUACAGUUCAGAAUAUUUUCUAAUGUCUAUCACGGCUUCCUCUUUGACCCAUGGGUUAAUUAGAAGCACGCAAAUUUCCAAGCACUUGGAGAGUUUCCUGUUGCUUUUCUGGCACCUAGAAUGUUGGGUGCACGCCACCUAGGUCCCCCUGGGCGAUGGCGUUUUCGGUUCUUCUGCGCGCCUGCAGGUUCCCCUCUGCCGGCCCUCAGCGAGUGAGCCAGGUGCGUGAGCCCAUGUCGCCAGCCGGUCUUUCCUUUCACUUCCUCAGGCUUCGCUCCGCGUGGGGAGCUCUGCUGUUGGCUGUGCGGACCGCGAGAGUUGUGGGAUCUUGGCACUUGAGGCGUCUCACCAGGCGAGAAGUCUGUGUCGGUCGAUGGGAAGUGCAACGACUCAACGCUGCUGAGCAACUUGUUGGAGGAGAUGAAGGGGACCCUGGCCCAGUGCUGAGCGCCAGGGCCGCCGCGGAGGGCUCAUGGGAGGCGGCACCACGUGCUGGGUGGCUGCUCUGUCCCCAGGCUGCACUGGCCUGGAGAGGCCAGUGUGGUGUGAGACCCACCUCAGCGGGAAGACGCCCGUGGACGGGGAGCGAGAGGAGGGCUCAGCUGCCAUCUGGAAGCCGGGAAACAGCUGGGCUCGUGGCAGCAUCUGCAGGCCCAGGAGGUACCUCUGGCAGUCCCUUCACCCCUAGGCCUCCCUCCCAUCUCCUGAACAGGGUUCAUCCCUGUAUCCAGCUGGCUUGGGCCUGUCUCCCUCACCACC
Molecule: long non-coding RNA, 1001 nt
Filed under: Camelus dromedarius (Arabian camel)
Lineage: Eukaryota; Metazoa; Chordata; Mammalia; Artiodactyla; Camelidae
Description: lncRNA (ENSCDRG00005010942.1)
Source: RNAcentral